GUGUUCAAAGCAGGCAGAUCCAAUUUUCUGCCACCGAAUACAUUAGCAUGGGAUAAUGGAAUAGGACCCUGUCCUCCUAUUUUCAGUUGGUUUUGGCAGCGCGAGGACUAGGGUAAUGAUUAAUAGGGAUAGUUGGGGGCAUUAAUAUUUAAUUGUCAGAGGUGAAAUUCUUGGAUUUAUGAAAGAUUAACUUCUGCGAAAGCAUCUGCCAAGGAUGUUUUCAUUAAUCAAGAACGAAAGUUAGGGGAUCGAAGACGAUCAGAUACCGUCGUAGUCUUAACCAUAAACGAUGCCGACCAGCGAUUAGGAGACGUUGAAUACAAAACACCACCAUCGGCGCGGUCGUCCUUGGCGUCGGUCCUUCACGGGGCCGGCGCGAGGGCGGCUUAGCCCGGUGG
This 398-nucleotide ribosomal RNA is filed under the name Acanthamoeba sp. RNAcentral describes it as "SSU rRNA". It matches the Rfam family "Eukaryotic small subunit ribosomal RNA", at positions 771 to 1099 of the family's 1831-position model. Lineage: Eukaryota; Discosea; Longamoebia; Acanthamoebidae. The record is from RNAcentral.